CAAGUCGAACGGCAGCACAGAGGAGCUUGCUCCUUGGGUGGCGAGUGGCGGACGGGUGAGGAAUACAUCGGAAUCUACUCUGUCGUGGGGGAUAACGUAGGGAAACUUACGCUAAUACCGCAUACGACCUACGGGUGAAAGCAGGGGAUCUUCGGACCUUGCGCGAUUGAAUGAGCCGAUGUCGGAUUAGCUAGUUGGCGGGGUAAAGGCCCACCAAGGCGACGAUCCGUAGCUGGUCUGAGAGGAUGAUCAGCCACACUGGAACUGAGACACGGUCCAGACUCCUUACGGGAGGCAGCAGUGGGGAAUAUUGGACAAUGGGCGCAAGCCUGAUCCAGCCAUACCGCGUGGGUGAAGAAGGCCUUCGGGUUGUAAAGCCCUUUUGUUGGGAAAGAAAUCCAGCUGGUUAAUACCCGGUUGGGAUGACGGUACCCAAAGAAUAAGCACCGGCUAACUUCGUGCCAGCAGCCGCUGUAAUACGAAGGGUGCAAGCGUUACUCGGAAUUACUGGGCGUAAAGCGUGCGUAGGUGGUCGUUUAAGUCCGUUGUGAAAGCCCUGGGCUCAACCUGGGAACUGCAGUGGAUACUGGGCGACUAGAGU
RNAcentral lists this ribosomal RNA (601 nucleotides) under obligately oligotrophic bacteria POC-114. RNAcentral's name for it is "bacterial SSU rRNA". It matches the Rfam family "Bacterial small subunit ribosomal RNA", at positions 58 to 647 of the family's 1533-position model. Lineage: Bacteria; Pseudomonadati; Pseudomonadota; Betaproteobacteria. The record is from RNAcentral.